This 468-nucleotide ribosomal RNA is filed under the name uncultured bacterium. RNAcentral describes it as "partial 16S ribosomal RNA". It matches the Rfam family "Bacterial small subunit ribosomal RNA", at positions 28 to 507 of the family's 1533-position model. The record is from RNAcentral.
GACGAACGCUGGCGGCGUGCUUAACACAUGCAAGUCGAACGGAAAGGCCCUGCUUUUGUGGGGUGCUCGAGUGGCGAACGGGUGAGUAACACGUGAGUAACCUGCCCUUGACUUUGGGAUAACUUCAGGAAACUGGGACUAAUAUCGGAUAGGAGCUCCUGCUCCAUGUUGGGGGUUGGAAAGUUUCGGCGGUUGGGGAUGGACUCGCGGCUUAUCAGCUUGUUGGUGGGGUAGUGGCUUACCAAGGCUUUGACGGGUAGCCGGCCUGAGCGGGUGACCGGCCACAUUGGGACUGAGAGACGGCCCAGAGUCCUACAGGAGGCAGCAGUGGGGAAUAUUGCACAAUGGGCGGAAGCCUGAUGCAGCAACGCCGCGUGCGGGAAGACCGCCUUCGGGUUGUAAACCGAUUUCGCCUGUGACGAAGCGUGAGUGACGGUAAUGGGUAAAGAAGCACCGGCUAACUACGUG